RNAcentral lists this ribosomal RNA (145 nucleotides) under Microascales sp. KN-2014. RNAcentral describes it as "Graphium sp. KN-2014 partial 5.8S ribosomal RNA". The stretch from base 1 to 125 matches the Rfam family "5.8S ribosomal RNA", at positions 30 to 154 of the family's 154-position model. Rfam says of the family: 5.8S ribosomal RNA (5.8S rRNA) is a component of the large subunit of the eukaryotic ribosome. It is transcribed by RNA polymerase I as part of the 45S precursor that also contains 18S and 28S rRNA. Functionally, it is thought that 5.8S rRNA may be involved in ribosome translocation. Lineage: Eukaryota; Fungi; Ascomycota; Sordariomycetes; Microascales. The record is from RNAcentral.
GCAUCGAUGAAGAACGCAGCGAAAUGCGAUAACUAAUGUGAAUUGCAGAAUUCAGUGAAUCAUCGAGUCUUUGAACGCACAUUGCGCCCGCUGGUAUUCCGGCGGGCAUGCCUGUCCGAGCGUCAUUUCGUCCCUCAAGCCCCCG